UUAUACGAGAGGCCCAAAUUGAUGAAAAACGGCGUAAAGCGUGGUUAAGAAAAGAGAGAAAAUACGGCCGAACAGCUUCAAAGCAGUUAUACGCAUCCGAAGUCACGAAGAACAAUCACGAAAGUUGCCCUAAAACCUCUGAUUCCACGAAAGCCAUAAAACAAACUGGGAUUAGAUACCCCACUAUGUAUGGUCGUUAACAUUGAUGGUUUUAUACCCAAACCAUCCGCCCGGGA
This 236-nucleotide ribosomal RNA is filed under the name Boreogadus saida. RNAcentral's name for it is "partial SSU". Lineage: Eukaryota; Metazoa; Chordata; Actinopteri; Gadiformes; Gadidae. The record is from RNAcentral.